ACACCCGUUCCCAUCCCGAACACGGAAGUUAAGCUCUUCAGCGCCGAUGGUAGUUGGGGGUUUCCCCCUGCAAGAGUAGGACGUCGCCAGGC
This 92-nucleotide ribosomal RNA is filed under the name Sporosarcina limicola. The record is from RNAcentral. Lineage: Bacteria; Bacillati; Bacillota; Bacilli; Caryophanales; Caryophanaceae.